CGUAUGGGAUUUGUGAAUUUAAUGAAAUUGUAGUGCAGCAGCCGGCUGUAAUUUACUCUUCAGUUUGACUCUGCGGAUCAUAAAUCUACAAAAUGAAAUUAGUCAACUGUGUGCCGGAAACAGAUUUUUAUGAGCAACGAGGCCACCCAUUAAAUUUUACUAGACCAUGGCAAUGAUAAAUCGAAAUGUGAACAGAAAGUCAUUUCGCACAGCAAUGAUGAUGGAAUCACUCUGCCGAUAGAAAAUGACAAGCGUAUGCUAUGCAGGGUGGUUGGAACUGAUCCUACAAAAUGAAAGUUAAUAAUCAUCCAGGGUCACCACUCCUCCCCUUGGUAACAUAUUGAAAUCGCAGACAAUCGAGUGGUAGCAAUUCGUGUGUUCGACCGAACUGGCCUUACGGUUCAGUUUUGUUAUCUAGGACAUAGUCACACUAGGAACGUGAAAUUUAAAACGGUGAAGGCAUUCGUUGCUGGAGCGGCACACUUGAAUGGAAAUUGAAAUGAAACAUUGAUGGGCGAUUGUGAUUAACAAAACAAGCAAAUUAAUGUAAAGAGAAUUUCCUAUUAAAAAGAAUAAAAAAUGAAUU
This is a long non-coding RNA of Bradysia coprophila, 586 nucleotides long. RefSeq lists it as uncharacterized. NCBI's taxonomy places the organism in Eukaryota, Metazoa, Arthropoda, Insecta, Diptera, Sciaridae. The record is from RefSeq and is a predicted model, not a curated record.